This 301-nucleotide ribosomal RNA is filed under the name uncultured bacterium. RNAcentral describes it as "partial 16S ribosomal RNA". It matches the Rfam family "Bacterial small subunit ribosomal RNA", at positions 509 to 807 of the family's 1533-position model. The record is from RNAcentral.
CAGCCGCCGCGGUAAUACGUAGGGUGCGAGCGUUAAUCGGAAUUACUGGGCGCAAAGCGUGCGCAGGCGGUUUGUUAAGUCUGUUGUGAAAUCCCCGGGCUCAACCUGGGAAUGGCAAUGGAUACUGGCAAGCUAGAGUGUGUCAGAGGAUGGUGGAAUUCCCGGUGUAGCGGUGAAAUGCGUAGAGAUCGGGAGGAACAUCAGUGGCGAAGGCAGCCAUCUGGGACAACACUGACGCUGAGGCACGAAAGCGUGGGGAGCAAACAGGAUUAGAUACCCCCGUAGUCCCUGUCUCUUAUAC